Molecule: unclassified non-coding RNA, 867 nt
Filed under: Drosophila mojavensis
Lineage: Eukaryota; Metazoa; Arthropoda; Insecta; Diptera; Drosophilidae
Description: GI26314
Source: RNAcentral
CAACACGUGCAAAAUGAAUAAAGCAUUUCUAAAGAAAUUCAUUACAUCUUUUAAAAAUGAGCCAUGCUUGUGGCAGAAAAAAAACGCUAGUUACAAGGACAAGAAUAAGAGAACCAAAUCUUGGGAAACGCUUGUGCGAAAAUACAAAGAGCAUGAUGAAAGCGCAACGGUGCAGUCAGUAAAAAAAAAGUGAAUUCUCUGCGCGCGGCCUAUCGGCGUGAGUUGCAAAAAAUAAGAAGAAGCAUAAAGUCUGGAGCUAGGGCUGACGACAUAUACAGACCAAGUAUAUGGUAUUUCGACCAUCUAUCGUUCCUUCAAGAUCAGGAAUCUUUCGUGGAUGGUAUAAAUACGUUUGAGGACGAAGAUUCAAGCUUCAUAGAAGUUGCAAAAGCAACGAGCAAACCAAAGAAGCGAAAGAGUGCUGACAGCAAUGAAUUCCUUGCAAAAGCGAUGAGACAUUCGGAAAAUGCUAAGGAAAAAGAUAUCGCUGACAUAUAUGCAGAAUCCUGGGCCGCAACAUUCAGGCAGCUGCCAGCGGAUCAGCAAAUUUUUGCCAGAAAGGGGAUUGAGGAACUGCUAUUCCAAGGCCAACUGGGUAUGCUGACGUUUGAAAGCGUAGCUCAACAUGCAUACCAAUCCAGCACACCAGUUACUGCUAGACCAAUCCCUUCAGUUGUGUAUCAUCGGAACAGCGUUAAUAAUCUGUCUACAUGUCUCAAUUACACUUCGGCCAACACUUUGCGGAGAAAUUCCAGUUGAAAAUUUUAAGUCCUCAUAUGAUUGUCAGCAAAGUUGCCGAAAGCCUUUCAUUUGGCGUUAUUGACAUUCUCGAGGGAAUGUCGUGUCGUUUAGUCUUAGGUCCUACCA